This 323-nucleotide long non-coding RNA is filed under the name Carica papaya (papaya). Its description in RNAcentral is "long non-coding RNA (CPAP_LNC011816)". The record is from RNAcentral. Lineage: Eukaryota; Viridiplantae; Streptophyta; Magnoliopsida; Brassicales; Caricaceae.
AUGCAGGAGGCCACGCUGGCGAUCCGCGUACUCGCGAUCGGACGAUCCAGAUUCAUUCCUGCGUGCAUGGAUGACUUGGAUGCGUUCCUUUCCCAAACGCGAUCGGACGGUCAGAUUUAAACACGAUCAAUGGUCUAGAUCCACUUCCUAUUUAAACGCGAUCGGACGACACAGAUCAGAUCGCGAUGAAUGGUCCAGAUUCACUCCCUAUUUAAUCGCGAUCGAAUAGUCCAAAUCAAACGCGAUUGACGGUAUAGAUUAAAAAGGGACGAAUAUAAAUUGUGAAGAUUGGUGACAAAAAGGGGUCACCGAUAUUGGUGACG